This 1230-nucleotide ribosomal RNA is filed under the name Triticum aestivum (bread wheat). RNAcentral describes it as "partial small subunit ribosomal RNA". The record is from RNAcentral. Lineage: Eukaryota; Viridiplantae; Streptophyta; Magnoliopsida; Poales; Poaceae.
AUGUCGGACUUGUACAUUAACACAUUGCAUGGCGAUGAGAGGAGAAAGAAAAGGAAGAGGGCAGCUGCUGGAUUUUUUGUGUCGGUUGUCGCGAUAGUUCAACACACGUAUUGUCAGAGGAAGAUUAGAGAGCUUGAUGAUUUCAGUGAGGAUGAGGCGGAGAUUAGGAUUAGAAAGCAGAUGCUUAGAUCAAUUUAUCAGGGUUCUAACAAGCACUGUUUUGAUAGUUUGCGCCUAACUAAACGGUCCUUUGUGGACCUGUGCGCUAUCUUGCGUGAAAGAUGUGGUUUGGGGGACACAUUUUAUGUGUCGGUUGAAGAAUCAGUCACAAUGUUUCUGCUAGUGCUAAGCCAUGGGAUGAAAUACCGGUUAAUUGAAAGCACGUACAGAUGGGCACUCGAGACCAUCAGUAGGCAUUUCAAUGAGAUCUUAAGAGCUGUCCUUUCCUUGUCUCAUGAGUUUAUAAAGCUACCAACCCCUUCAGCUGAGCAGCCCGAGGAUAGUAGAUGGAAAUGGUUUCCAGAUGGGCUAGGAGCUUUAGAUGGCACACAUGUUGAUGUCCGUGUUUCCGCUCUCAAGCAAGGCAGAUACAGAAAUAGAAAGCAAGAUGUGACCACUAAUGUGCUUGGUGUUUGUGACCGGAAUAUGAAGUUUUUGUAUGUCUUAGCUGGAUGGGAAGGUUCUGCAUCUGAUUCACGAGUGUUGCGAGAUGCAAUGUCACGACAAGACGCUUUUAGAGUUCCACAUGGAAAAUACUACCUUGUAGAUGCUGGGUACACUAAUGGUCCGGGCUUCUUUGCUCCAUACCGGUCAGUCCGGUACCAUUUGAAAGAAUGGGCGGCUAAUGGAAAUAACCCACAAACUCCAAGAGAGUUAUAUAAUCUGCGACAUGCAUCAGCUAGGAAUGUGAUAGAGAGAACUUUUGGUCUACUAAAGAUGAGAUGGGCUAUUUUGAGGACUAGUUCAUUUUUUCGCAUACGGAAUCAGAUCCGUGUCAUUAAUGCUUGCUGCAUAUUGCAUAACUUUCUAAGAGAUAGGCAGAGAGAGAUGGAUGAUAUAAUGCUAAUUGACGUGGAUAAUCAGUUAAAUGCUGCUGCCAUCGAACAUCCUGAAGAACCAAACAUGAUUAGACAUGUUGAAUCAACAACUGAGUGGAACAACAAGCGAGAUACCUUAGCUAAUCAAAUGUGGGCAGAUUACCAAAGGAGACGCGGGGGAGCCAAUCAUUGA